UACGAAGGUCCCAAGCGUUAUCCGGAUUUAUUGGGUUUAAAGGGUGCGUAGGCGGGUUAUUAAGUCAGUGGUGAAAGCCUUCAGCUUAACUGAAGAAUUGCCAUUGAUACUGAUGAUCUUGAGUAUGAUUGAGGUGGGCGGAAUGUGUCAUGUAGCGGUGAAACGCUUAGAUAUGACACAGAACACCGAUUGCGAAGGCAGCUCACUAAGCCAUAACUGACGCUGAUGCACGAAAGCGUGGGGAGCAAACAGG
RNAcentral lists this ribosomal RNA (253 nucleotides) under uncultured bacterium. Its description in RNAcentral is "partial 16S ribosomal RNA". It matches the Rfam family "Bacterial small subunit ribosomal RNA", at positions 524 to 776 of the family's 1533-position model. The record is from RNAcentral.